AGCGAACGCUGGCGGCAGGCUUAACACAUGCAAGUCGAGCGGGCAUCUUCGGAUGUCAGCGGCAGACGGGUGAGUAACACGUGGGAACGUACCCUUCGGUUCGGAACAACUCUGGGAAACUGGAGCUAAUACCGGAUACGCCCUUAUGGGGAAAGGUUUACUGCCGAAGGAUCGGCCCGCGUCUGAUUAGCUAGUUGGUGGGGUAACGGCCUACCAAGGCGACGAUCAGUAGCUGGUCUGAGAGGAUGAUCAGCCACACUGGGGCUGAGACACGGCCCAGACUCCUACGGGAGGCAGCAGUGGGGAAUAUUGGACAAUGGGCGCAAGCCUGAUCCAGCCAUGCCGCGUGAGUGAUGAAGGCCUUAGGGUUGUAAAGCUCUUUUGUCCGGGACGAUAAUGACGGUACCGGAAGAAUAAGCCCCGGCUAACUUCGUG
Molecule: ribosomal RNA, 435 nt
Filed under: uncultured bacterium
Lineage: Bacteria
Description: partial 16S ribosomal RNA
Rfam family: Bacterial small subunit ribosomal RNA
Source: RNAcentral